This 23-nucleotide non-coding RNA is filed under the name Mus musculus (house mouse). Lineage: Eukaryota; Metazoa; Chordata; Mammalia; Rodentia; Muridae. The record is from RNAcentral. RNAcentral also lists the same sequence under 1 other name.
UCACAACAACUGUGUGGAGGUAU